Long non-coding RNA from Apis cerana (Asiatic honeybee), 760 nucleotides. RefSeq lists it as uncharacterized. NCBI's taxonomy places the organism in Eukaryota, Metazoa, Arthropoda, Insecta, Hymenoptera, Apidae. The record is from RefSeq and is a predicted model, not a curated record.
CAUAUCUGUCAUAUCGUCUUUUUUGAUUCGGUCUGUACAUGUAAUGUUAAUAUCGAGUAAUUUUCACGGAAUAAGUAAAUAACAUUCUAGAAAGGAUAUUAAUAAGAAGUAUAUUAAUAACAUUCUAGAAAGGAUAAGUAAAAUAUUCACCUGGCCUGUUUCUCGCAUUUGUCUCUCAUAUCCACCUCUUCCUCUGUCUCAGGCUGGAACGGUUUGCUUUCCAACAUGCUAGUUACGAGGAUGAUAUUUUCACGAUUGAUGAGCAUAUUGUACAUCUUGUGGCACGAGAUAAAAAUUGCCAAUGUAAGGAAAAUGGAAAAGUGGAAAAUUUGUUGGAGAAACGUCAAUUUUUAUUUUCUCUCCAUCAAUUAUAUUAUUCUCAAUAGUUUAACAUUGGAAAGAAUAAUCUUGAGUUGGAAUAAAUAUUUAACGAAUAUCAAGUAAUAUCAAGGAAAUUGGUCUUCUGUGCAUCUCGUCUGUUUCGAACAAAGAGUUGGAGAGAAAUUUUCUUUCGCAAGAACAUAAAAGAAGAUUCAUAGAAUAGAAAAAUCAUCAUCAAAGUGGGAGAAGUACAUUAAGGCAAACUUAAGCAAAAUAAGAAAGUAUUUCACGAAUAAUUUUUUUAAAACUAUUGAAAAUUUUUGUAUAUAAACUAAAAAUGUAAAUAAAUAUAAAUGUAAAUGUAUAUGUAAUAAAAUGUAUAUAAAAAAAAUGUAAAAAAUAUAAAAUAUAAAUAAAGACACCAAUUUUUGUGAACAAA